Molecule: unclassified non-coding RNA, 372 nt
Filed under: soil metagenome
Description: partial contains 5.8S ribosomal RNA, internal transcribed spacer 2, and large subunit ribosomal RNA
Rfam family: 5.8S ribosomal RNA (bases 1-120)
Source: RNAcentral
GAUGAAGAACGCAGCGAAAUGCGAUACGUAAUGUGAAUUGCAGAAUUCAGUGAAUCAUCGAGUCUUUGAACGCACAUUGCGCCCUUUGGUAUUCCGAAGGGCAUGCCUGUUCGAGCGUCAUUAUCACCCCUCAAGCCCUCGGCUUGGUGUUGGACGGUUUGGUGGAGGCCCCCUCGGGGGCUCCUGCCCCUCCCAAAGACAAUGACGGCGGCCUCGUUGGACCCCCGGUACACUGAGUUCUUCACGGGACACGUAUCGGACACAUGGGUUUACGGGACACGGUCUGCCUCCCCUCAGGGAGAAUCUUUCUAAGGUUGACCUCGGAUCAGGUAGGGAUACCCGCUGAACUUAAGCAUAUCAAUAAGCGGAGGA